Felis catus (domestic cat) is the source of this 85-nucleotide transfer RNA. It matches the Rfam family "tRNA". Rfam says of the family: Transfer RNA (tRNA) molecules are approximately 80 nucleotides in length. Their secondary structure includes four short double-helical elements and three loops (D, anti-codon, and T loops). The record is from Rfam. Lineage: Eukaryota; Metazoa; Chordata; Mammalia; Carnivora; Felidae.
GCCUGGGUGGCUCAGUCGGUUGAGCGUCUGACUUCAGCUCAGGUCACGAUCUCACGGUCCGUGAGUUCGAGCCCCGCGUCGGGCU